CCUACGGGUGGCAGCAGUGAGGAAUAUUGGUCAAUGGACGAGAGUCUGAACCAGCCAAGUCGCGUGAAGGAUGACUGCCCUAUGGGUUGUAAACCUCUUUUAUAUGGGAGUAAAAUGUUCCACGUUUGGGAUUUUGUAUGUACCCGAUGAAUAAGGAUCGGCUAACUCCGUGCCAGCAGCCGCGGUAAUACGGAGGAUCCGAGCGUUAUCCGGAUUUAUUGGGUUUAAAGGGAGGGCAGGUGGGUUGGUAAGUCAGUUGUCAAAGUUUGGGGAACAACCGUAAAAUUGCAGUUGAAACUGGUAGGCUUGAGUGCAGGAGAGGUGGGCGGAAUGCGUGGUGUAGCGGUGAAAUGCUGAGAUAUCACGAAGAACUCCGAUUGCGAAGGCAGCUCACUGGAGUGCAACUGACACUGAGGCUCGAAAGUGUGGGUAUCAAACAGGAUUAGAUACCCCAGUAGUC
RNAcentral lists this ribosomal RNA (460 nucleotides) under uncultured bacterium. RNAcentral's name for it is "partial 16S ribosomal RNA". It matches the Rfam family "Bacterial small subunit ribosomal RNA", at positions 338 to 795 of the family's 1533-position model. The record is from RNAcentral.